RNAcentral lists this ribosomal RNA (254 nucleotides) under uncultured bacterium. Its description in RNAcentral is "partial 16S ribosomal RNA". It matches the Rfam family "Bacterial small subunit ribosomal RNA", at positions 524 to 776 of the family's 1533-position model. The record is from RNAcentral.
UACGAAGGGUGCAAGCGUUACUCGGAAUUACUGGGCGUAAAGCGUGCGUAGGUGGUUUGUUAAGUCUGUUGUGAAAGCCCCGGGCUCAACCUGGGAAUGGCAAUGGAUACUGGCAGGCUAGAGUGCGGUAGAGGGUAGUGGAAUUCCCGGUGUAGCGGUGAAAUGCGUAGAGAUCGGGAGGAACACCGGGUGGCGAAGGCGGGUCUCUGGGCCGUAACUGACGCUGAGGAGCGAAAGCGUGGGGAGCGAACAGG